Stegodyphus dumicola is the source of this 1763-nucleotide long non-coding RNA. NCBI's taxonomy places the organism in Eukaryota, Metazoa, Arthropoda, Arachnida, Araneae, Eresidae. The record is from RefSeq and is a predicted model, not a curated record.
UUAUUUAGGAAUUCUUAAAGGAUGCCUAAAAUGGUUAUCUCGUGAUGGACAUUUUGAAGAUAGUUGAAGAAGACAGUUUGAAAACAACAUUCUAAGGCAACGGUAAACGGUCUGAAAAUGGAUUUGAAAAAACGUCUGUAGAAGUUUAUCAACUUUGGGAUUCAGGAAGAGGAAUUCAACUCUCUCAUGAAUCAGAAUUCUGGAAGAAUGGAACCUCCUUAUGAACAGUCUAUUCCGUAUAUCAUUUACGCUGAUUUUGCCUUAAUCGAAAAAAUAGAUACUUGCAAACAUGAUGCAACUAUCCGCGUCUUUCACAGAAAAAAUACAACAUCAUAAAGCAUGCGAAUAUGCUUAUAUAAUUGUAGGACCUGAUGGAAAGAGUGUUAAAACUAUAACAGUAUACUGAAGUCCUAUCGUGGUUGUUCAUUCCAUAGAAAAUAUUUUACGUAAAGAAGAAAAAAUAGCCGAAAAAUUAUCUAUCAACGUUGUAAUAGUCUCUUUGCAUGACGCCUCAAGAGGAAAAAACAUUUUAAAGUGCUACUCACUGCUAUUUGUGCAAAAAAAAUUUGAAUAAUGACCAUGUAAAAGAUCAUGAUCACAUUACUGGGAAAUAUAGAGAAGCUGUAUACAAUAAGUGCAAUUUAAAAUAUAAGCUUCGAAAGAAAAUUCCUGCGGUAUUUCACAAUUUAAAAUAUUAUGAUGUACACUUACUUAUGCAAGUCGUGGGUAAAAUUCAAAAUCGAGAGUUUUAUGUUAUAACCAAUAUGGAAAAAUAUAUUUCGUUUAGUAUUAGAAGAAAAUGGAAAAAUAUGAGUAUCCUUAAUCUUUAUUAACAGUUUGCAACUCAUGAACGUGUCAUUAGAGAAACUUGUACCAAACUUUCCUGAAGAAAAAUUUAAGAUUUUACAAAAUAAUUUUCUUCAUCAUCAAAAUAUAAAACUAUUAUUACGGAAGGGGAUGUAUCCGUAUGAAUAUAUAAACUCCUUUGAAAAAUUUAAGGAAACUCAAUUGCCAUCUAUAGAAGAUUUUCAAAGUACAUUAACUGGUGAAUGUAUAUCCUCAGAUGACUGUACAGGCCCAGUUUUCUUGGUUAUCCCUAUUGCCGAGAGUAUCAAUCGUCGGCUGUUGGACAUUUGUACAUGAAUGACGCAAACGCCCUCAUUCGCGAACUUGAUGUACCUAACUGUGGCCUGAACAUGUAGGAUAGAAAACUAUAAGGGGAUCGACGAAGAAAGCCAUUCUUUUAAAGGAGGCCAAUGGAAGAAAAAGGUUGGGAAUCCCUGCCAUAGAACUUAGAUGUGAGACGUUGUAUAGAACGUAAGACUUUGCAGAGGUGCAUAUGGAUCUGACUUUUUAUGCGUAGACGAUAAUGCUCUUCCACAUCAAGCAAACUCCGCUGACGAAUUCCUUGAAAGUGAAGGUAUUGAGCGAAUACCGUACCCAGCAAAAUUUCCUGAUUUUAACCAGAUAAAGAGCUUUUGGCCUUACUUAGGAAAAGCAGCUGCUCGGAGACAUCUUACUCUUACAGAUGGUUGUGAAUGGCCUUAGAUCCCAUUCUUGUAGUGGAACUUAAUACUCCCAAGUUUUUGGUUAACAGCAUUAUUGCAAGCAUGAAAACGCAUUGGGAUAUGUGUGUACAGGUCAAAGGAGAUCACAUUCCGUAUUAAAUUCAUAAGCCUUAAUCCCUCUGAACUCUGCUUGUAACAUAUUAUUACUAUUUGUAUUUUGUAUAGUUCUGUAUAAUAAACAGAGAUCUAAACUUU